AGAGUUUGAUCAUGGCUCAGGAUGAACGCUAGCGGCAGGCUUAACACAUGCAAGUCGAGGGGCAGCAUGGUGUAGCAAUACACUGAUGGCGACCGGCAAACGGGUGCGGAACACGUACGCAAUCUACCUCUUUCAGGGGCAUAGCCCGAAGAGAUUCGGAUUAACUCCCCAUAAGAUAAUGGUGUGGCAUCACACAGUUAUUAAAGCUCCGGUGGAAAGAGAUGAGCGUGCGUCCCAUUAGCUAGUUGGUAGGGUAACGGCCUACCAAGGCGACGAUGGGUAGCUGGUGUGAGAGCACGACCAGCCACACGGGCACUGAGACACGGGCCCGACUCCUACGGGAGGCAGCAGUGAGGAAUAUUGGUCAAUGGACGCAAGUCUGAACCAGCCAUGCCGCGUGAAGGAUGAAGGCGUUCUGCGUUGUAAACUUCUUUUAUCUGGGAAGAAACCUCCUUUUUCUAAGGGAGCCGACGGUACCAGAGGAAUAAGCACCGGCUAACUCCGUGCCAGCAGCCGCGGUAAUACGGAGGGUGCAAGCGUUAUCCGGAUUCACUGGGUUUAAAGGGUGUGUAGGCGGAUAUUUAAGUCCGAGGUGAAAUCUCUGAGCUCAACUCAGAAACUGCCUUGGAUACUAUUUAUCUUGAAUAUCGUUGAGGCAGGCGGAAUAUGUCAUGUAGCGGUGAAAUGCUUAGAUAUGACAUAGAACACCGAUUGCGAAGGCAGCUUGCUAAACGAUUAUUGACGCUGAGGCACGAAAGCGUGGGGAUCAAACAGGAUUAGAUACCCUAGUAGUCC
RNAcentral lists this ribosomal RNA (795 nucleotides) under uncultured bacterium. Its description in RNAcentral is "bacterial SSU rRNA". It matches the Rfam family "Bacterial small subunit ribosomal RNA", at positions 8 to 796 of the family's 1533-position model. The record is from RNAcentral.